This 588-nucleotide ribosomal RNA is filed under the name Trametes versicolor. RNAcentral describes it as "eukaryotic LSU rRNA". The stretch from base 179 to 332 matches the Rfam family "5.8S ribosomal RNA". Lineage: Eukaryota; Fungi; Basidiomycota; Agaricomycetes; Polyporales; Polyporaceae. The record is from RNAcentral.
UUUUGACGAGUUGUAGCUGGCCUUCCGAGGCAUGUGCACGCUCUGCUCAUCCACUCUACCCCUGUGCACUUACUGUAGGUUGGCGUGGGCUCCUUAACGGGAGCAUUCUGCCGGCCUAUGUAUACUACAAACACUUUAAAGUAUCAGAAUGUAAACGCGUCUAACGCAUCUAUAAUACAACUUUUAGCAACGGAUCUCUUGGCUCUCGCAUCGAUGAAGAACGCAGCGAAAUGCGAUAAGUAAUGUGAAUUGCAGAAUUCAGUGAAUCAUCGAAUCUUUGAACGCACCUUGCGCUCCUUGGUAUUCCGAGGAGCAUGCCUGUUUGAGUGUCAUGGAAUUCUCAACUUAUAAAUCCUUGUGAUCUAUAAGCUUGGACUUGGAGGCUUGCUGGCCCUUGCGGUCGGCUCCUCUUGAAUGCAUUAGCUUGAUUCCGUACGGAUCGGCUCUCAGUGUGAUAAUUGUCUACGCUGUGACCGUGAAGUGUUUUGGCAAGCUUCUAACCGUCCAUUAGGACAACUUUUUAACAUCUGACCUCAAAUCAGGUAGGACUACCCGCUGAACUUAAGCAUAUCAAUAGCCGGAGGAAGA